RNAcentral lists this ribosomal RNA (424 nucleotides) under uncultured bacterium. Its description in RNAcentral is "bacterial SSU rRNA". It matches the Rfam family "Bacterial small subunit ribosomal RNA", at positions 355 to 796 of the family's 1533-position model. The record is from RNAcentral.
UGGGGAAUCUUGGACAAUGGGCGCAAGCCUGAUCCAGCCAUGCCGCGUGGAUGAUGAAGGCCUUAGGGUUGUAAAAUCCUUUCGUCGGGGACGAUAAUGACGGUACCCGAAGAAGAAGCUCCGGCUAACUUCGUGCCAGCAGCCGCGGUAAUACGAAGGGGGCUAGCGUUGUUCGGAUUUACUGGGCGUAAAGCGCGUGUAGGCGGGUCGUUAAGUUGGGGGUGAAAUCCCGAGGCUCAACCUCGGAACUGCCUUCAAAACUGGCGACCUGGAGCAAAGAAGAGGCGAGUGGAAUUGCGAGUGUAGAGGUGAAAUUCGUAGAUAUUCGCAGGAACACCAGUGGCGAAGGCGACUCGCUGGUCUUUUGCUGACGCUGAGACGCGAAAGCGUGGGGAGCAAACAGGAUUAGAUACCCCCGUAGUCC